CCUGUGUGUGUGCCUCUGUAUGUGCCUGUGUGUGUGCAUGUGUGUGUACCUGUGUGUGCCUCUGGGUGUGCCUGUGUGUGCCUGUGCGUGUGGCUGUGCAUAUGUGUGUGUGCCUGUGUGUGUGUACACGUGUAGCUCACAGCCAUUGCUGUGAACUCUGGACCUUGGUGACUUUGCUGUGUCCUUUGCUGUACCCAGCGGUGAUCUCUGUCUCUGUUUUCCUAAAUUUCAUCUCUCGCUAAUAAGUGCUUUGAGUGCUUCUUUUCCAUGUCUAUGUGUGUUCAUGCUCAUUCUACCACCUGUUAUCACUCCUCACUGCUCUCAGCAGACCCCAAAUCGUCAUCUUUUUCAGGAAAUCCUAGAUCAGGAAUAAACCUCAGCAUAUUGAGAAUUGUGUCCUCUGAGUUAGAUAAGAACGAAGAGGAAACAUUAUCCAGAGUUUCAUAACACAGGGUCCAUAGAUGUCUUUAGGAUGGAUAAAAUCAUAUAAAAUCAUAAAUCAUAUGUGAAGUGUGUGUGUGUGAUCAUAUUAUUGAAUGAACCUAGUGAGGUUAAAUAAGAAAAAGUAAAUUUGUUUUUUAUCUCAACAGGAGCACCCCUAAGCUAUGUUCGGCCUUUGUACUGAGAGAGGAAGUUGCAUCUCUGGGUGGACACAGCCUGUGGCUCCUGUUGUACAAAGGGCCAGGCCCAGGAGAAGAAUGGAUUGGAGAAGGGACACCAUGUUUCACAGCUGUGACAUUUGCCAUCGGGCCUCAGGACACCCAAUGGCAGAGGUCCUGGCAGGUGGUCCUGAGGAUCCUGCCAGGAAGAGAUGACUACCCCUUGGCAACUCUUGCUUUAUUACUGGCCUUGGGACAUCGUCAGAAUGGAGAUAUUUUGACAUCCCACUGUAUGUGAACAUAUCGAGCAAUGAAUCAGCAUUUACGUCAUCAGCUGGGACAUGACUUCCAAAAGAUCAGAGCCCUUUGCGUUGGCAAGUGCAGCCUAUCUCAUUGAUCUGUGAUAAUUCAUGGGAAAACACACACCUCACUUCACAUCAUCUGUCCUGUGUUUUCCUGUCUCAAUCUUGGAACUCUAAACUAAAAGCUGCCCAGUUACGAUGACCGUGAUGGCCCACAACUAAAUUACAGGGCAUAAGGUUAUCUUAAAGGACAAUGUUUUACGAAGGCCAUGCCAUGCUGGCGUGUGAGAUUGGAGAUGCACUGCCGCAAACUAAGUCCUGGUUCAAAUCAGCAAUCAUUACGUUAGCUUUACACAUUUUGAGAUAUUAAAACACAGAUCAAUGGAUGGAGAAUAACAUUAAAUUUGCCAAAUAUAUAGUUUGAUGAAUUGGCUUCAGAUCCCUACAAAAAGAAAAAGAAAAGUCUGCUGGCGUUAUAUUUUCAUAAUUGAUUUUUUUUUUUUUUUUUGAGAUGGAGUCUUCCUCUGUCACCCAGGCUGGAGUGCAGUGGCAUAAUCUCAGCUCACUGCAACCUCCGCCUCCUGGAUUCAAGCAAUUCUCCUCCCUCAGCCUCCCGAGUAGCUGGAAUUACAGCCAUGAGCCAUCUUGCCUGGCUAAUUUUUCUACUUUUAGUAGACAGGGUUUUGCCAUGUUGGCCAAGCUGGUCUUAAACUCCUGACUUCAAACGAUUUGCCUGCCUUGGCCUCCCAAAGUGCUGAGAUUACAGGCGUGAGCCACCAUGCCCAGCCUAAUAUUUAUUUUUAUUAUUCAGUUGAUUAUAAUGAAUCUUUACCUUUAAUUUGAAGUGAGAAUAUGAUAAUAUGAUAAAAAUAUAUAGAUAUCAUCUUUAUUGUACUGAAUCAACUAAUUGUUUUUAAAGCAGGAUUUAUGCUUUAGAAAAAGAGUAUCCAUGUUCUUUUCUUAAAUUAACCAAGUCCUUGAUACAAAUACUCUCCAAACUCUAUCUUCA
RNAcentral lists this long non-coding RNA (1910 nucleotides) under Macaca mulatta (Rhesus monkey). Its description in RNAcentral is "lncRNA (ENSMMUG00000058840.1)". Lineage: Eukaryota; Metazoa; Chordata; Mammalia; Primates; Cercopithecidae. The record is from RNAcentral.